AAUAAAUCGUUGAAUAAGAGGAGUACAUUUGGUAUAGGCGGUAAAGAGAGUCGGUGAUGGUGAGAUUCCGAUACGUACUGCCAAAUGGAAUGGGCUUAUGAGAGAUUUCCUGAACAAGGAGUAGGGAAAUUCGGCUUCCACCGUUAAUAGGAUAAGGUAUCAGAAUGAGAAAGGUUCAGACGACGUUCGGCGUUGUAUACAGUGCAGGUAAAGCAACGGAAAGUUAAUUCAGCUUUAUGGCGUUGCGCAACCGCAAGAUACUUUCGUCUUUUAUGGUACCUGAUUGAGAUGAGGAAUCUUUCCUCAAUAGAGGUGGCACCGCGACUUUUCGCCCUCUGU
This 339-nucleotide non-coding RNA is filed under the name Paracerasibacillus soli. Its description in RNAcentral is "Virgibacillus soli T-box sequence". It matches the Rfam family "T-box leader". Rfam says of the family: Uncharged tRNA acts as the effector for transcription antitermination of genes in the T-box leader family. T-boxes are found upstream of many aminoacyl-tRNA synthetase genes and some amino acid biosynthetic genes usually in Gram-positive bacteria. The record is from RNAcentral. Lineage: Bacteria; Bacillati; Bacillota; Bacilli; Caryophanales; Bacillaceae.